AAUAGAUACCCGGGUAGUCCAUGCCGUAAACGUUGGGCACUAGGUGUGGGGCUCAUUCCACGAGUUCCGUGCCGCAGCUAACGCAUUAAGUGCCCCGCCUGGGGAGUACGGCCGCAAGGCUAAAACUCAAAGGAAUUGACGGGGGCCCGCACAAGCGGCGGAGCAUGCGGAUUAAUUCGAUGCAACGCGAAGAACCUUACCAAGGCUUGACAUAUACCGAAAACUCGUAGAGAUACGGGGUCCGCAAGGGCGGUAUACAGGUGGUGCAUGGUUGUCGUCAGCUCGUGUCGUGAGAUGUUGGGUUAAGUCCCGCAACGAGCGCAACCCUCGUCCUAUGUUGCCAGCGGGUAAUGCCGGGGACUCAUAGGAGACUGCCGGGGUCAACUCGGAGGAAGGUGGGGAUGAGGUCAAAGUCAUCAUGCCCCUUAUGUCUUGGGCUUCACGCAUGCUACAAUGGCCGGUACAAAGGGCUGCGAUACCGCAAGGUGGAGCGAAUCUCAAAAAGCCGGUCUCAGUUCGGAUUGGGGUCUGCAACUCGAACCCC
RNAcentral lists this ribosomal RNA (544 nucleotides) under uncultured bacterium. RNAcentral describes it as "bacterial SSU rRNA". It matches the Rfam family "Bacterial small subunit ribosomal RNA", at positions 777 to 1319 of the family's 1533-position model. The record is from RNAcentral.